GGAAAUGUGACAUUUACAUCAACAACAUACGGAUCAAGUGCUUCUCUUGUUUGCGAUACAGGAUACGAAACGACUAAGGCAACACUUAAUUGUCUUGACACUGGCAGUUGGGAAACAUCGACAUGUACCAUCAAAGAUUGUGGUUCUUCAUUGAGUGUAAGCAAUGGUAAUGUGACAUUUACAACAACAACAUAUGGAUCAAAUGCUUCCCUUGUUUGCGAUACUGGAUACGAAACAACUAAGGCAUCACUUGGUUGUCUUGAUACUGGCAGUUGGGAAACAUCGACAUGUACCAUCAAAGAUUGCGGUUCUUCUUUGAGUGUGAGUAAUGGAAAUGUGACAUUUACAACAACAACAUACGGAUCAAGUGCUUCUCUUGUUUGCGAUACUGGAUACGAAACAACUAAGGCAACAUUUAAUUGUCUUGAUACUGGCAGUUGGGAAACAUCGACAUGUACCA
Long non-coding RNA from Ruditapes philippinarum (Manila clam), 460 nucleotides. RefSeq lists it as uncharacterized. Lineage: Eukaryota; Metazoa; Mollusca; Bivalvia; Venerida; Veneridae. The transcript has 3 exons. The record is from RefSeq and is a predicted model, not a curated record.